Podarcis lilfordi (Lilford's wall lizard) is the source of this 73-nucleotide non-coding RNA. The record is from the annotation of a GenBank genome assembly. Lineage: Eukaryota; Metazoa; Chordata; Lepidosauria; Squamata; Lacertidae.
AGCCAGGGUGGUGUAGUGGUUAGUGUGACCGGCUAGGACCUGGGAGACCAGGGUUCAAAUCCCCACUUGGCCA